RNAcentral lists this ribosomal RNA (468 nucleotides) under uncultured bacterium. Its description in RNAcentral is "partial 16S ribosomal RNA". It matches the Rfam family "Bacterial small subunit ribosomal RNA", at positions 28 to 507 of the family's 1533-position model. The record is from RNAcentral.
GACGAACGCUGGCGGCGUGCUUAACACAUGCAAGUCGAACGGAAAGGCCCGGCUUUUGUUGGGUUCUCGAUUGGCGAACGGGUGAGUAACACGUGAGUAACCCGCCCUUGACUUUGGGAUAACUUCAGGAGACUCGGGCUAAUAUCCGAUAGGAUCUCCUGCUGCAUGGUGUUGGUUGGAAAGUGUCGGCGGUUGGGGCUGGUCUCGCGGCUUAUCAGCUUGUUGGUGGGGUAGUGGCUUACAAAGGCUUUGACGGGUAGCCGGCCUGAGAGCGUGACCGGCCACCUUGGGCCUGCGAUAGGGACCAGACGCCUACGGGCGGCAGCAGUGGGGAACCUUGCACAACGGCCGGAAGCGUGAUGCAGAAACGCCGCGUGCGGGAUGCCGGCCUUCGGGUUGUAAACCGCUUUCGAAUGUGACGAAGCGUGCGUGACGGUAAUGGGUAAAGAAGCACCGGCUAACUACGUG